RNAcentral lists this small RNA (187 nucleotides) under Arabidopsis thaliana (thale cress). RNAcentral's name for it is "ATSL086810". Lineage: Eukaryota; Viridiplantae; Streptophyta; Magnoliopsida; Brassicales; Brassicaceae. The record is from RNAcentral.
GUUUUUUGAAAUUUUAAGUUAUAUUUGUUUUGUUAGUAUUUUUUUUUAGUGUUUAAAAUUGUAUAAUUGUAUUUUGAUUAUUAAUUCUAGGAUUUCAUACAUAGUAUACCAUUCCGUAUUAAUAUCGAUCCAAACCCGUCCCACCAUAUAACUCCAUCACGUGAUUAAACAUCAUUUUGUCAUUUUA